GCCGCCGUAGCUCAGCGGGCAGAGCGCCGGCCUUGUACGAGCCGGUGGUCCCGGGUUCAAGUCCCGGCGGCGGCUCCA
Molecule: transfer RNA, 78 nt
Filed under: Pyrolobus fumarii 1A
Lineage: Archaea; Thermoproteati; Thermoproteota; Thermoprotei; Desulfurococcales; Pyrodictiaceae
Description: tRNA-Thr
Rfam family: tRNA
About the family: Transfer RNA (tRNA) molecules are approximately 80 nucleotides in length.
Source: RNAcentral